Molecule: long non-coding RNA, 917 nt
Organism: Entelurus aequoreus (snake pipefish)
Lineage: Eukaryota; Metazoa; Chordata; Actinopteri; Syngnathiformes; Syngnathidae
Exons: 2
Source: RefSeq, a predicted model, not a curated record
AAUCAGGGUACAAAAAUUAAGUGUAAAAAAUCAAUGUAUAAGAAAAUCAGUGCAGAAAAAUUUUAGUGUAUAAAAAUUCAGAGUAAAACAUUUGGUGCAGAAAUAUUUGUUGUUUCAAAAGUCAAGACCCACUUCUGGUAAUUAGAGACUGAAGCACCUGAUUGGCUGGUUGGGAGACACGAUCGAUUGCUUCUGUCUGAAUUGACAGGAAGUGAGUCCUGAGUUUUGAAUAGUCUUCUGACAAACUUUUAUACAAGAUUUUUGAAGGAAAAAAAAGACACACAAUGAAGAAGCAAGUCAGCAGCACCUGAGGAGAUGACCAUGGUCUUCCCUGGCAGAUGGUCCUCCCUGGAACAUGACCACGGACCAGCAGAAGUCAGCAGCACCUGAGGAGAUGACCAUGGUCUUCCCUGGCAGAUGGUCCUCCCUGGAACAAAGGAGAGACUAAUUAGUCUUGACCACGCUCAGAGCGCCAGCCUGCCAGCUGAGGGCCGAUCGGUUUUCUCCGGCUCGGGUGGAAGGCCUGAGUCUGUCACGAGAUCCACAAGGUCAGGUUUCAGAGUUUUCAGCGGCCCCAGGCCCGGAAGCGGCAACACAAUCCAUGGCGAGGAGCUUGGUCUUCUGGCGCACCUUUGACUGCUGCUCUGACCGCUCACCUUCUGGUCCGGCAAAGGAUCCCCGGCACGUUAGAAGACCAGGUCAGCUGGAUCCCUGGCACACAGAAGACCAGGUCAGGUCGAAGUGGGACUCUCAGCUGUGUCAGUGGGGGAAGGGGGGGCAGCGUGGACCCUAGACCAGAACUAUCAGGGUUUCCUGCAGCGCUUUGUUGUUAAAGCGUCCGCCUUAACAACAAAGAGCCACCGCCUAAACUAAAGUCUUUUUUUAUUUAUUAAUUUUUUUAAAUGUUGUAUUUAUUU